Non-coding RNA from Misgurnus anguillicaudatus (oriental weatherfish), 417 nucleotides. Lineage: Eukaryota; Metazoa; Chordata; Actinopteri; Cypriniformes; Cobitidae. The record is from the annotation of a RefSeq genome assembly.
AUGACAACACAAUGCAAAGAAGACGACAGGAAACUUCUGCUCUUUGUAUCACUGUGGUACACUUUCGGCAGCGGCACCAGACUGGAUGUUGGCAUUAACAGUCCCCCUAAAGUGAUCGUCCUGCCGCCGUCCAGUGAAGAGAUUUCCAGAAAGCAAGCAGCAACACUGAUGUGUGUGGCCAACAAGGGCUUCCCCUCAGACUGGAGUCUGAACUGGAAGGUGGACGGGAUCAGCAGCAGGUCUCAGUACAGCAGUGUUGCUCUCCUGGAGAAGGACGGUCUGUACAGCUGGAGCAGCAGUCUGACUCUCUCUGAGCAGGAGUGGAGCUCAGUGAUCUCAGUCAGCUGUGAGCUCACACAGAAAGACCAGCGUGAUAAAGUCACUGGAGAAUUGAGGAAAGAUCAGUGUUCACAGUAG